GUAGCUGUAACUCAGUGGCUGAGUGCUAGCUUCACAUGUGUGAGAUGCUGGGUUCGAUCCUCAGCACCACA
Molecule: transfer RNA, 71 nt
Filed under: Marmota monax (woodchuck)
Lineage: Eukaryota; Metazoa; Chordata; Mammalia; Rodentia; Sciuridae
Description: tRNA.Val
Source: RNAcentral